UCUGGCCAAAUCAGCAUUUGUAUCWGGUGGCCUGUGCCACCGUAUCUUAUACACCGGGUCUGCCCCUUCCCACAAAGUCACCCGUGAAAUCACACCUGAAGGGCGCCGAAUUACAAAGCUUGACCAGAUUUUGCUCAACGGGAAUAACAUAGCAAUCCUGGUGCCUGGUGGUUCCCCGGAUCCAGAAUGAUGUGAUAUGCUGGCUGCAAAUGGGCGCUUAAGGGUCAUYCAGACCUCAAACGUCCGUCUUCCACAACUUCAGCUGCCGAGAUGGCRUCGAUGGAUGGAUGUAAGUUCUCURAUUGGCGUUUUCGAAGAAGAAAUUUCAAUUAUUUGUUUAGUUUUAGUCAAAUUUUYGACUUUUAAGGACCAUAGAAUGCAUUAAAAGUUGUAGAUGGAUAUCGGAACUAGGAAUUAAGCUGCAAAAUCUCUUAGGCUUAUUGCUGAGAUCAAUUUAUGCAAAUGCAGCUUCCUACAAUUACUUGGGUUUUCUAUAUAAUUGCUUACAGUGACUGAAGGGCUGUUUGGUUGGUU
This is a long non-coding RNA of Cynara cardunculus var. scolymus (artichoke), 534 nucleotides long. RefSeq lists it as uncharacterized. The record is from RefSeq and is a predicted model, not a curated record. The transcript is spliced from 3 exons. Lineage: Eukaryota; Viridiplantae; Streptophyta; Magnoliopsida; Asterales; Asteraceae.